Molecule: non-coding RNA, 96 nt
Organism: Glossina morsitans morsitans
Lineage: Eukaryota; Metazoa; Arthropoda; Insecta; Diptera; Glossinidae
Source: Rfam
AGCCUCACAAAGUGGCUGUGAAAUGUUGUGAAUUAUAUGAUUUUAGUUCUAAUUCAAUCUAAAAUUGCAUAUCACAGCCAGCUUUGAUGAGCUAGG